RNAcentral lists this non-coding RNA (24 nucleotides) under Cricetulus griseus (Chinese hamster). Lineage: Eukaryota; Metazoa; Chordata; Mammalia; Rodentia; Cricetidae. The record is from RNAcentral.
GUCUUCUGAAAGAGCAGCCAGUGC